Molecule: long non-coding RNA, 1822 nt
Organism: Rhea pennata
Lineage: Eukaryota; Metazoa; Chordata; Aves; Rheiformes; Rheidae
Exons: 2
Source: RefSeq, a predicted model, not a curated record
CGGCGCGGCGGCCGCACAAGCGGCGGCGUCCGGCGGCUGGCAGGCCGCGGGGCGGGCAAAGGCUGCGCGGCGACGGGCAAGGAAGCGAGAAGGCCCGGCGGAGCGGAGGAGCCCGCGGCCGCCACCGGCAGCGCAGCGCAGGUCUCCUUCGAUGGCUCAUGCAAUCACCAAGAGGGACCAUGGGCUCCCUUUCCAUAACCAGCCUUACAUCACCAUUCAGUUCCGGCUCUGAAGAGGCUCCUUCCCAAUGGGUGGUGUCCUGGGAGAAGGUGGAGCGGUGGGAACGCUUCAUGGAGAAGGGAUUUGACUCAGACGGCCGUGGGCUGGCUUAGCCACAGGGUAGAUAACAGAACCGAUGCUUCAAUUCUGCUUUUUUUUUUUUUUUUUUUUCUGUCUUCUACUGUUUUGCCUUCCUCUCUCCUUUCUCCCUCGUGUCUCCUUUUUCAUUAGAGGUGCUGUGUGGUGUGCAGAAACACACACUUGACAGUGACUCCUGGCUUGGAAAGAGUAAACUUGCUGCUGGCCAGCUGAGUCUGCCUGUGUAGUGGGGGAGAAAGGAAUUUUUAUCCUUCAGAAGAACUGAGAAUGAGUCUUCUUUGUGCAAGAGUCUGUUUUUUCUGGGAUAAAUUUUGCAUUUAAGUGCAAGGAAGGCCCACUGUCUCUGGGAAGAGUAAAAGUAAGGAAAUUAUCAUCAGGGAACAUGAACAGCUAUAGCAAGCCCAGCAGGAGUCAAGCCUACUCACCUCUGAUCUGUAGUCACACUCCUUAUGCAUUGCACCACUGGCUUCAGCUAGCUCUUUCUUAAUUAGUACAUUUUUGUGUGUGUGUAGAUAUACACACACGCACGCAUGCACGCAUGCACACACACUGUAACCCUUUCUCCUUGUUCCUCCACCAUGGUGCAGUGUACCCUGUUAGAAAGUGUCUCAGAAGAAACCCAGGCCUGAAAAGCCUGCCUAACAGGAACCAGGGGUGUCCUAGCUAGCAGACAAUGAGGAAAAAUGUCCAUUCUUCGGUGUCCAUAUCUAGACAUACCUGUUUGCACACACUAGCAAUCCAAUCUGAAGUCCUCAAUCCAAAAAAGCACAUCUUUGCUACUCUCCAGUGUGGGCUGGGGAAAGUGGGAGAGUACAGAUUCCCUCCAGGACUACAGGACUGGUUUUUGCUUGCUCAAGAGUUACCCUUUCAUAUAUAGAUUUCUAGGCUCCUACAUUUUGAAGAAAUUUAUGCACGCUCCUUCAUUCCUUUUCAUUCAUUCAGUGAUGUCCCUUUUUUUCUAUUCCUUCACAGAAUAAAAGCUCAGCCAGCAUCUUUUCUGAUCAAAUAAUUAUUUCCUUUCCUAUUCUAUCUUGCAAGCUGAUUUCUUGAUCAGUUUGAGAUGAGACUUUUUUUCUCUCCUGCCCAGGAGGUAUUGACAUGUAUGCCUUUCUGCAUAAAUGCAUGCUACCUUUAGUGAAAAGGAAAAAGGGGGGGGGGAAAUAAGUUAAAAAAAAAAAAAAAAGAAAGAUGGGAAAAAACAGAAAAUGCAAGCAUUGAUCUCAGGACUCAUGCUAAGUAGCUGUUCUAGCUCUUGAGCUAUUUCCCUAUUACAUAAAUGUAACUGUUUGGUCCAGCUUCUGUCUGAUCUAGUACAUACUUACAUAUUUCAAUGUAUUAAAUGCUUUCUACUACAAUGCCAGUAUCUAGAACACCUGGAUAGUAGUGUACUAGCUAAAGACUUUAAUACUUCAUGUAGGAGAAGCUAUCAGGAACUUCGCAAUGCUUAAUUAUUUCUUUAUCUGGUCUCCAGCAAGAGCCAAAAAUAAAAAGAUCUGUGCAUUUA